Oryza sativa Indica Group (long-grained rice) is the source of this 189-nucleotide microRNA precursor. It matches the Rfam family "MIR812 microRNA precursor family". The record is from Rfam. NCBI's taxonomy places the organism in Eukaryota, Viridiplantae, Streptophyta, Magnoliopsida, Poales, Poaceae.
UCAUGGUGCAAUUAUGAGUUUUUUUCUCCAAUGUUUGAUCAUCCAUCUUAUUUAAAAUUUUCUUAUUUAAUAUAUGAUAAAAUAUGAAUAAUAAUCUAUGCGUGACUUAUUAUUUUUAUUAUUUUUAUAAAUUUUUAAAUAAGGUGGAUGGUCAAACGUUGGAUAUAAAAACCUAUAAUUGCAUUUAAA